Long non-coding RNA from Leopardus geoffroyi (Geoffroy's cat), 1239 nucleotides. RefSeq lists it as uncharacterized. The transcript has 2 exons. NCBI's taxonomy places the organism in Eukaryota, Metazoa, Chordata, Mammalia, Carnivora, Felidae. The record is from RefSeq and is a predicted model, not a curated record.
AGGAGGUGGUCUUUAAUCCGAACUUGAGGAGGUUAAUGAAUGUCUUAAGGUCCGGAGACCUGCACACUGUUUCUAAUUCAGGGGGGAGAUUGCUGUGUUAACUUGUGGACCACGGAAUCCUUCUGCUAUCUUUCCUGCAUCUUAGAGCAGACAUCAGAGCAGACCCUUGGCAUCUGUGACUCCUUCCAGAGUUCUUCCUUAGAGCCCUUGAGCCUGGCUGUUAACUAUCACCUCAGCCAGGUUGCAAAGAACUCUCAGGAUAAAGCUCAAGAUAAGGAAAGGAAACAUCAAAGCUGAGCACCAACUCACUCCAAACCACAGGGCGUAAACACACGCGCGCACAAGCACGCUCUUGGGUGUGCCCGGGACUCGGAAGCCUCCUUGAUUGAUUCUGAAACGCGGCAGGCAGAGGUGCAUUUGCACGGGGAGGUACAAAUGUUGAGCGGAGCAGCACCUGCCGUGAUCUGUGAUCCGCCAUUUGUCUUGAAAGGGCCAACAAGAUAGAGGCCUGAACGCCUGAACUUUUGGAGGACUCCAAACAGCAGGAGCACCCUGGUGGAACAAAGGGCCACCGACAUAUGUGAGGGCUGCAUUUUGUCAACUAGGUAUCAUGUUCCGGCCACAGCAUGACAGACAAAUGCCAGGCCAGAUGAAGAGAUAUAAUCUGCUCAACCCAAUGCAUCUGUACCUGGAUCGUGUGAUGGGGGCAGAUGCUGAUUCAAUAUGGAUGCAGGUGCAGAAAAAAGGAAGAAAGAACCCAGACGCUGAAGCCAAGCGCUGCAGAAGUCCAGAGCCUCCCGGGGAGGCUCGGUUUUCGAAGUUACUGAUCCGAACUUUUAUGCGGUCUAAGUGCUUGUCUAUGCAGUGCCGUGUUGAGGCGUUCUCACAGAGGAAGCCCGAGAGGAUCUUUGGCAUUUGGAAACUAAAAGCUUCUGUACGAACACUAACUAGUCCUUGUAUCCUCCUCAUGUCGUGGGCCUGUAGUGUGUCCCUGCCUCAAUGGCUGCCAUGUCCACACGUGAUGAUGGGCGUUCUUGGUGCUCCUUGCCAUAACUGGAUCAUCAGGGGAGGUGCGGGGUUGGUGACUUGUCUGCCUCACUAGCACCGGGAACUCGACUUUGCUUAUUAAGGCAGCCUAUGUUUGUGUCACACAAGAGGUUUGGUGCUCUGCCCUUAUCCUCGAGAAUGUCCAAUAUCGACCAUACUGAAUAGUUCUUAAGAUCGGAAUUCAGAAACUUC